CUUUGUUGCCAGCGGUCCGGCCGGGAACUCAAAGGAGACUGCCAGUGAUAAACUGGAGGAAGGUGGGGAUGACGUCAAGUCAUCAUGGCCCUUACGACCAGGGCUACACACGUGCUACAAUGGCGCAUACAAAGAGAAGCGACCUCGCGAGAGCAAGCGGACCUCAUAAAGUGCGUCGUAGUCCGGAUUGGAGUCUGCAACUCGACUCCAUGAAGUCGGAAUCGCUAGUAAUCGUGGAUCAGAAUGCCACGGUGAAUACGUUCCCGGGCCUUGUACACACCGCCCGUCACACCAUGGGAGUGGGUUGCAAAAGAAGUAGGUAGCUUAACCUUCGGGAGGGCGCUUACCACUUUGUGAUUCAUGACUGGGGUGAAGUCGUAACAAGGUAACCGUAGGGGAACCUGCGGUUGGAUCAC
This 416-nucleotide ribosomal RNA is filed under the name Escherichia coli. RNAcentral describes it as "bacterial SSU rRNA". It matches the Rfam family "Bacterial small subunit ribosomal RNA", at positions 1110 to 1526 of the family's 1533-position model. Lineage: Bacteria; Pseudomonadati; Pseudomonadota; Gammaproteobacteria; Enterobacterales; Enterobacteriaceae. RNAcentral also lists the same sequence under 2 other names. The record is from RNAcentral.